CAGCAGCCGCGGUAAUACGAAGGGGGCUAGCGUUGCUCGGAAUUACUGGGCGUAAAGGGCGCGUAGGCGGAUCGUUAAGUCUGAUGUGAAAGCCCUGGGCUCAACCUGGGAACUGCAUUGGAUACUGGCUUACUAGAGUGCGGUAGAGGGUAGCGGAAUUCCCGGUGUAGCAGUGAAAUGCGUAGAUAUCGGGAGGAACAUCCGUGGCGAAGGCGGCUACCUGGACCAGCACUGACACUGAGGCACGAAAGCGUGGGGAGCA
This 262-nucleotide ribosomal RNA is filed under the name uncultured bacterium. RNAcentral's name for it is "partial 16S ribosomal RNA". It matches the Rfam family "Bacterial small subunit ribosomal RNA", at positions 509 to 770 of the family's 1533-position model. The record is from RNAcentral.